UGAGCUGCCACAUGUGGCAGGCAGUGUUUACACAGAAAACAUUCGGAAAACCCCAAAAAAUACACAAAAUUCACUUAAAAUAAUGCCAGGCAAGCAGGUCAGCUUCGACGAGAAGAACCUCCAAGGGGAGAGUCCAAGUGGACCGGCAGGCCGCCCACGCCCACGCCCGGGCCCUGCAGGAAGGCCUGCAGCAGAAGUGCCGGCCCAGCCCCAGAACGGGAGAGAUGGGCCUGUCCUGAAGCGACGUCUUUGAACACCGGCAGGAAGCAGGCAGCGAGGACUUGGAGCACGCGCCGCCACCCCAAGGACCCUGCCGCAAAAGGCUUGGGAAACUGUCACUUGAUCGCUGACCCGUGUCAAGCCUCGGUGGCACGUGUGGCCGUGUGCACCUGAGCCUUUUUGCAGCUAAUUGAAUUACAAUUUUUGACUGCCACAACCCCCACGCAGAUUCAUUCCCUAGGAAGAUCCUGGCACGUAUGCGACAGGAAGGAGUCCCCCCCUCCCGUUCCCCUACCCCUUCCCCCAGUAUGACAACACAAGCCGAAAAAGAAACCAUGAAUCUCCCGAAGCAAAUAAACAAAUUACAACAGA
Molecule: small RNA, 591 nt
Filed under: Drosophila pseudoobscura pseudoobscura
Lineage: Eukaryota; Metazoa; Arthropoda; Insecta; Diptera; Drosophilidae
Description: GA30712
Source: RNAcentral